AACGAACGCUGGCGGCAGGCUUAACACAUGCAAGUCGAACGAGAUCUUCGGAUCUAGUGGCAGACGGGUGAGGAACACGUGGGAACAUCCCUUUCAGUUCGGAAUAACGUUGGGAAACUAACGCUAAUACCGGAUACGUCCUUCGGGAGAAAGAUUUAUCGCUGAAAGAUUGGCCCGCGUCUGAUUAGCUAGUUGGUGAGGUAACGGCUCACCAAGGCUACGAUCAGUAGCUGAUCUGAGAGGGUGAUCAGCCACAUUGGGACUGAGACACGGCCCAAACUCCUACGGGAGGCAGCAGUGGGGAAGAUUGGACAAUGGGCGCAAGCCUGAUCCAGCCAUGCCGCGUGAGUGAUGACGGCCUUCGGGUUGUAAAGCUCUUUUGUCCGGGAAGAUAAUGACUGUACCGGAAGAAUAAGCCCCGGCAAGCUUCGUGCCAGCCGCCGCCGUAA
This 449-nucleotide ribosomal RNA is filed under the name uncultured bacterium. RNAcentral's name for it is "partial 16S ribosomal RNA". It matches the Rfam family "Bacterial small subunit ribosomal RNA", at positions 29 to 523 of the family's 1533-position model. The record is from RNAcentral.